Molecule: ribosomal RNA, 253 nt
Filed under: uncultured bacterium
Lineage: Bacteria
Description: partial 16S ribosomal RNA
Rfam family: Bacterial small subunit ribosomal RNA
Source: RNAcentral
UUCGUAGGCAGCAAGCGUUGUUCGGAUUUAUUGGGCGUAAAGGGUGCGUAGGCGGUUUGGCAAGUCUUGUGUGAAAUCUUCGGGCUCAACCCGAAGUCUGCAUAAGAAACUGCCGGGCUUGAGUAUGGGAGAGGUGAGUGGAAUUUCCGGUGUAGCGGUGAAAUGCGUAGAUAUCGGAAGGAACACCUGUGGCGAAAGCGGCUCACUGGACCAUAACUGACGCUGAGGCACGAAAGCUAGGGGAGCAAACAGG